AUUGAACGCUGGCGGCAUGCCUUACACAUGCAAGUCGAACGGCAGCACGGGGGCAACCCUGGUGGCGAGUGGCGAACGGGUGAGUAAUGCAUCGGAACGUGCCCAGUAGUGGGGGAUAACUAGUCGAAAGAUUAGCUAAUACCGCAUACGACCUAUGGGUGAAAGCGGGGGACCUUUACCGGCCUCGUGCUAUCGGAGCGGCCGAUGUCUGAUUAGCUAGUUGGCGGGGAAGAGCCCACCAAGGCGACGAUCAGUAGCUGGUCUGAGAGGACGACCAGCCACACUGGGACUGAGACACGGCCCAGACUCCUACGGGAGGCAGCAGUGGGGUAAUUUUGGACAAUGGGCGCAAGCCUGAUCCAGCCAU
RNAcentral lists this ribosomal RNA (367 nucleotides) under uncultured bacterium. Its description in RNAcentral is "bacterial SSU rRNA". It matches the Rfam family "Bacterial small subunit ribosomal RNA", at positions 30 to 395 of the family's 1533-position model. The record is from RNAcentral.